RNAcentral lists this small RNA (76 nucleotides) under Myotis lucifugus (little brown bat). RNAcentral's name for it is "Vault RNA (ENSMLUG00000021447.1)". The record is from RNAcentral. Lineage: Eukaryota; Metazoa; Chordata; Mammalia; Chiroptera; Vespertilionidae.
GGGCUGGCUUUAGCUCAGCGGUUCCUUCGCAUAUAAAAUUACUUUGCCGUGUCUUCUGGCACAUUCUGGUCGUUUC